Molecule: long non-coding RNA, 1628 nt
Filed under: Helianthus annuus (common sunflower)
Lineage: Eukaryota; Viridiplantae; Streptophyta; Magnoliopsida; Asterales; Asteraceae
Source: RNAcentral
CGGAGAAGUGGUGGAACGUGCGGAACCACAUAUUGGAUCACUCCAGUGCGGCACGAAGCCGCUGAUGCCGAGUCGGCUCCUAUGCCGCUAGCUAUGCCCUGCUUGGUCCCCCGGCACGGUGGAGGUUCCGUAGCGCGUCAUGAGCACCGGGCUAAGGGGCGGUUGAGCAACUCAAGCGAACCGCCCUACCUUACUACAACAUAAGGACAGAAGGGAGAAGGUUGUGAAGGUGGCCUCGUUAUCCACACCUCCGGUCGGAUGAAUGGAGGACCGACCGACCCGGGUUUUCACGAGCGUUGGCGGGUUCUGGAGUGCCUGUCAAGGGCGCUAGCGCAUACCCCGGGGUGAUCAUCACCACCUGCACCUCAAAUCUCGGCACAGUGGAACGUGUAACCCGCCUGCUAUUCCAUUCAACUACAUUUGUUCCUGUAAUCCAUAGCCUAACAGAACGCAGCAGCGAGGGACAACCCGCCCAUACAGCCAGCGGGGAGGAUGGCACUACUGGCAAAGACCGUCUGGCGAAAACGCCGCAGGUGCGAAGCGUGGUAGGCCUGCGCCGGGGGAGCAUAGGGAGGAAAGGGAGCCCGGACGGUGGAAGAGCCAGGGGAGGCCGGGUCAUUUGACGGAAAUGGAAGGCUUUGGACUAUGAACCUAUUAAAGAAGGCCCUAUGGAGUAAAAGGAAGUGCAUGAAUUCUUGGAAAAAGAGGGAGCGAGCCUAUAUAAAAAUGGAAUCAAGCAAAUUCAAUGAAUAGAUAGAGUCAACGGUACGACAGACAGCGCUGCCUACACGCGAAUUUGCUUCCGAAGUCGAGCAGUCUCAAUUUCACUACAGGAUUUUAGAAUGAAUGCUGGGCUGGGCCACCUCGAAUGGCGUGAGCCGCAUGCGGGGAGACCCGCACGUACGGUUUUUAGGGGGAUCUGGUCGAAAGACCGGCCGGCGCCCACCCGACUAGAGGGACCGAGAAAUUAAUAGAGUACAAAACUUAUCUUCAAGCUUUACCUUAUUCUGAUCGUUCAGAGGGCGAUCGCGGGGUCACUGAAUGAAGUCCUCCGUUUCUUUCGGAGGUGCUGACCCGCAGCGAGGCAGAGAUGACUAAGUGACAUAUGGAAUAUGGCGACGACAACAGCAUGUCGUAGAAGGAGAUAACAAGUGGAGCCAACGACCCACUAAGACUAACGUAUCUACAACUACAUCCCCGAGCGGCAGUCAAACGGGGGCGUGAAUGCGAGAUGCCAGCGGAAUGAUCGGCCGGACAGAGGCUAGGGCUCCUUCCUUCCCACCGCGUCCUUCCUUGUGUGUCGGAGAUAUAAAGCGAGUGCACCGGAAAAGAACGGGAACUGGGUCGAUCUAUUCUAUGUCGAAGCAUCCGAAGCAUAACUGCACACUCACACGAUCUUUGCCGACAGAUAGGAGCAUUCGGUGGAACCGGUGAACUACACUUGCUUCUGGAUAGAUGUGUGGGACAGAGGGCUCGUGGUACCUGCUGCCCACCCUUCCUCCUCUGCUUUGAGAACCGUGUGAACGGAGAGUGGGCAGAAGGGAAGGAGGUCCUCAUACGGAGUCGCACACUUACUUGAGCAGUGCGGGAGACUGGGGAAUGGGUCGAGUAAAGUCCCCUGGGGCCGG